AUUUCCUUUUUUAUGUAGAAUAUUGUGGCCGACUUUUUCGUGUUCCAAUUAACAGCAAGGAAUUCGAAACUCGCAUCAAACAAGAUGCCACGUUAAGGUUGGAAUUUGUUAAAAAGGUGCAAGCUAAGAUUGCAGAAAAUGAUCCCAAAUUUCUCAGUUUUGAAAUAAUUAGGGAAGGAGA
Daphnia pulicaria is the source of this 181-nucleotide long non-coding RNA. RefSeq lists it as uncharacterized. The transcript has 3 exons. The record is from RefSeq and is a predicted model, not a curated record. Lineage: Eukaryota; Metazoa; Arthropoda; Branchiopoda; Diplostraca; Daphniidae.